UUUUUAUUUUCUGUUUUUUCCAUUUAAUCCCUUUAUUUUGUUUAAUUCAUAUUAAUUUCAUUUUUAAUCUAAAAAAUAUGGGACUUUCACCAAAAGUAUUUAAACAUUUUUCUCUUCCAUAUUCAGAAUUAAAAUUAUUUUUUGGAUUAAUUUUGAUAUUUUUAAUGAAUUAAAUGUUUUUGUGCAUAUUUUUAAUUGUUUAAAAAUACUUCUGACUUUUUAAAAAUUAUGAAUUUUUUUGUCUAAG
This 247-nucleotide long non-coding RNA is filed under the name Lathyrus oleraceus (garden pea). RNAcentral's name for it is "Pisum sativum (pea) long non-coding RNA (PSAT_LNC005908)". The record is from RNAcentral. Lineage: Eukaryota; Viridiplantae; Streptophyta; Magnoliopsida; Fabales; Fabaceae.